CAGAUCCAGGUGAGCAGUGGGAGGAGACUCAAUGCCAGCAGCAGGCCGGUGCCAGAUGUGGCCGAUGGUUGUUAAUUUCGACUUCUUUCCCAUCCGUUGGACUUGGGGCAGUAGCAGGUGCGCCGGUCAGCUGGGAGUAACGCAGCUAGUGAUUACGCCAGCAGCCAGGCUUGGAGCAGUGUUGCCAGUGUCUACAGAGCAUCCAGUCAGCUGGUGUCCAGGAAUUUGCCAGGUUUCUUGCACACUGGGGAGCCAAUUGGGACCCGUUUUUGCUGCUGUGGGCGGUGUUUGUGCUGCAGAGUCUGGAACGCAGGAGGCGCCAACCAAGGCUGAAGUAGGUGCCAAUUUUUGGUGACAUCAGUGCAGCUCCAGCCAGCAGAUGUGGUGUUGCCGGAUACAUCUGUUGGGGAGAAGCUAGCUGCGGAGUUUGUGGCGAUGCCAUCCAACGGGACCAAAGGAGCAGUAGUGGGAGUAUCAGUUCCCGCAGUAAGCCAAGCAGUAGGAGCCAGUGGGGAGAAAAAAGCGCAGCAGAGUUGGUGUUUGCUGGCACAUCGGAGUCCAGUGUAGCGGAGUCGAUGAUGGCGUUAGUAGCCAGGCGUGGAGCAUCAUCAGGAGGAGAUAUCUCGGCUGCAAUCGAAUUUUGGGGUCCUAGAGCAUUGGAGCUGAUGUCAGCGUUGCCUGUCAGCUAAGAAGAAACUCAAUGACAGCAGCAGGCCCGUGCGCUUGUGGUCGCUGGUUUGUUAGUUUCGACUAUUUUUCCCAUCUGUUGGACUUGGGGCAGCAGCAGGUGCGCCGGUCAGCUGGUGAGUAUAAGAUUGCCGGUUUUUGUGUACGCUCCCACUUACAAUUUCAUCUCACACACCAGGAGGGAGUAGCGAAACCAGGCCAGUGCUCGCUGGUGCUUCUGGAGAACUCAGAGUGGUUUCGCCG
RNA transcript from Drosophila rhopaloa, 930 nucleotides. RefSeq lists it as uncharacterized. Lineage: Eukaryota; Metazoa; Arthropoda; Insecta; Diptera; Drosophilidae. The transcript has 3 exons. The record is from RefSeq and is a predicted model, not a curated record.